This 501-nucleotide ribosomal RNA is filed under the name uncultured bacterium. RNAcentral describes it as "bacterial SSU rRNA". It matches the Rfam family "Bacterial small subunit ribosomal RNA", at positions 57 to 556 of the family's 1533-position model. The record is from RNAcentral.
GCAGUCGAACGAGAAAGCACUUUCGGUGUGAGUACAGUGGCGGACGGGUGAGUAACGCGUAGGAAUCUACCUAGUAGUGGGGGACAACUCGAGGAAACUCGAGCUAAUACCGCAUACGCUCUUAGGAGGAAAGUGGGGGAUCUUCGGACCUCACGCUAUUAGAGGAGCCUGCGUUAGAUUAGCUUGUUGGUGAGGUAAAGGCUCACCAAGGCGACGAUCUAUAGCUGGUCUGAGAGGACGAUCAGCCACACUGGAACUGAGACACGGUCCAGACUCCUACGGGAGGCAGCAGUAGGGAAUCUUGGGCAAUGGGCGAAAGCCUGACCCAGCGAUGCCGCGUGUGCGAAGAAGGCCUUAGGGUUGUAAAGCACUUUCAGUCGUGAAGAAAAGCUACGAUUUAAUAUGUCGUGGUCUUGACGUUAGCGACAGAAUAAGUACCGGCUAACUCCGUGCCAGCAGCCGCGGUAAUACGGAGGGUACGAACGUUAAUCGGAAUUACUG